Molecule: long non-coding RNA, 447 nt
Organism: Cloeon dipterum
Lineage: Eukaryota; Metazoa; Arthropoda; Insecta; Ephemeroptera; Baetidae
Exons: 4
Source: RefSeq, a predicted model, not a curated record
AAACGUGACAGUUGCAGCGAUUUAUUAUUUCCACUUUAGAAACAUCCGUGAAAAAUAUUGCAAUGUGAAAUGAAGGUGACCAAACUAGGUAUAAAAGCCCAACGUGCUAUGCACAAACACUGCAUACGGUGCUGACUUUGGUACAUCCCACAACAAGCAAAAAAUGGCGAAGUUCACUCUUGCCCUGCUUUUCAUAUGCGUGAUUUUCUCAGCUUCGGCAGGAACGGCCAGGCGACCAACUGUACCAACAACUAGAAUCCCCACUAGCACCACGGUCUCAUCCGUCAAUGUUAGCGAUGCGGAAAAAUCUCCUGGUAACAAUAUUAUUCUACCCACUACUACACCUUCUGUAGAUUAAUUCAAAUAAAAAAAACCUAAGAAAUUAUGUUACAUAUAUUAUGUGUGUAUCGAUAUUAAAAUAUCAAUAAAAAGCAACAUUAAAUUUCA